This 10989-nucleotide long non-coding RNA is filed under the name Homo sapiens (human). RNAcentral's name for it is "HSALNT0326928". Lineage: Eukaryota; Metazoa; Chordata; Mammalia; Primates; Hominidae. The record is from RNAcentral.
UGUUUAAAAUUUGUAAAGUGAGCAUAUAUGUAUUUUUCAAGGGGGGAGGGAAAGGAUUAGUUGUUAGAGAAGGCAUUACAUAAUUUUGACACUGUCUGAAGAUGAAAGGAAAUUAUUUUUAAAAACUUAAAAUAUAGAAACUUGUUAUUCAAAUGAGCAGGUAUAUUCUAAUUGUAAUUAAUUAAACCAUGUGACUUAAAAAAUCCUGAAAGCAGAUGACAUUAUCUUAUUGAAAAUGUAAGUCUUUAUCUUUUUAUUAACUCAUUUUCUGUUAAGUUUUUGGCAUUUUAAAAAUUGUACUUUGGCACAAGGAAAUCCAGAUUUUCUUUGUUGACUGUAGCAUUAAGAAUGAGACAUAUGAAGCCAAUUUGAAUAAAGAUUUGUUGAAAGCUUAAUUCCUUCUUUGCAAAAAUAGCAACAAUAUCAUGAAAAUAAUGUGCAAACAGAAACAGAAUCCCUGAGGCUUCUACUAAGAAAAACACAGAGAACCAGUAUUUUUACCAGCAAUUCAGGUCACAAGAAAGUUCUGUAUGUUAUAGUUCAGGGACAUUUGCAUAAAUCUCUCAUCUCAGACUAUUUGCACUUUGUAGUGGUAAAAAAUUACUUAUCCUAAGACCUCUUUUUGUACAGAAAAACAUUUUUUUCAAUUCUUUUCCAUUGUUUUCAAUUUAAAUAUGGUGCCUGUUUAAACAGUAACUUUCUGCAUAUGAAACAAGAGAUUUUGUUAAAACUCUGGUACUACUACAAUAUUUCUUAGAGACAUAGAAAAUGAUCAUCAUGAUGAUGAUGUAAUACUAUGGAUGAAACUGAGGUCUUCCAUGUGCCAAAAACUCUUUUAAGGACUUCACAUGCAUUAAUUUAUUGAAUCUUUAUAAAAUCCAUAUGAGAGAGGAGCUAUUAUUACCUGAGCUUUACUGAGAGGAAAAUUGGGAUGUAUAGGGAAAAUGAACUUGCUCAAGGUCACAUAGCUAGGAAGUGGCAGGGCCCAAACCUAAACUCCUAACUGAGUCUCUUACGAUAAAGAGAAAGUGGUGUAAUGACCUACCUACCUGAAUAUUGUGAAACUAUAGAACUGCUUUUAAUAGAAAAGGGAGUUUUUCAUUUGAAAUUUUAAAAUAAGAGAAAUAGAAAUAAAUGAAGUAUAAGUAAAUUUAUACUCAAGUGUUUUUCUUUGUCCAGGGCAUGCUGUAGUUAAUAUACUAUUUGAAAUGUGUCAAAAACAUAUGCACACACAUAUAUUAAAAAAAAAACAUUAUGCGACUAGGGCUCAAAAAAUAGAUGGCUCUUCAAUUUGUUAGGUAUGUUUGGAUUUACUUACAUACAACAAGAAAAAUAGCAAGGCAAAACAGUAUUUUCUAAGUCUCAUAGAGAUGUGCUAUCUGAUAAAGACGAUGCCAGGAAAGGUUUAGAGGUUUUGAAGAAAGUGCAGGAUUUGACCUUACGUUGGACCACUUAGAGGAGGGAACAUUCAAGGGGAAGAGAGUAAGUCCAUAAACAGUGGCAUGACGACGUUUUGGUUGUUGGGGUCUGCAAGGAAUUGUAAACAUCAGACAAAUAUGGCUGCUUUGGAGAGUUGUCAGAGUCAGCUUGUGCAGUAGCUUAGUGAAGGCAUUAAGUGCCUUGCACAGAGAGCUGGUGUGUGUCCUAGGUAUAGAGCAAAAUUUAGUUGAUACCUUUGUAUCUAUCUACCACAGCACAGUAAAUCAUAAGAUGUCAUCAAGCCCUAACCAGUUAUCUUGCUUCUCUCUUAAACUUGGAAUCUCCGUUUUUCUUUAUCCUGUCAAGGUCAUCCUGUUUCAAAGUUGGUGGAUACUUUCUUCAUGAUGUCUCUCAGAUCUUCCUUUCUAAUUACCUUAUUUUUCUAGUAUGGUUCUCCAUGAUCUCACAACCCUGUAAAUGGUACAGACCUCUUAUUGUGUCAACUUCUAUUCUUUAGGGCUUUUAAAGUGAGUUAGUUUAAAUGAACAAGGAGAGUUUUUGGCAUAUGUAGGUAACCUGGUUAAAAAAAGGAGUAAACCUCAUCUGGGAGACAAGUGAAUCCAAGGACUGGCAAGCUGUCAGAUCUCUCUUCCCAUCUCUUGAUUCCUGUCUAUGUUAGCUUCAUUCUUAUCUUCUGCAUACAAGCUAACUUUGUGUGGUAAGGAGCAUGGUCUCAGCCUACUUCAUAUUCAUAUUUCUGCAGUGUAGUUAUCUAAGAGGAAAUAAACUCUUUCUUGUCAGUUGUGUUCAGAAAGUAACUUAAGUGCUACAAUUGGUUCUGCUUUGAUUAAGAGAUUGUCGCCAGAGAAAUCACUAUAGUCAAGGAGAUAGGGUACUGGAACUGGGGCUUCCAUCAGAACCACUUAGUGGGUGUAGAGUAGUAGAAAAUUAUCCGGCCUAGAGAAAUAUGUUUCUGAGAAGAUAAAAAAAUAAAUGCCCACUGCCCUCUCUAAUCUCUGAGUAACAGUCUUUAAAUAUAUUUUCAGCAUAAUACUUUCACAUUCAAAUUGAACUAUCUUUUCUAGCAUUAAACUUUUUUUCCAAUGGUUGUUAUACGAUGACUUCUCUCAUCAUUGUCAAUAUGUUGAUCCCAUUUGUUGUGGGUUUAAAACUAGGCUCUCCAAUUUACUAGUUAGGUGAUCUUAAGCAAUUUAUCGUCUCUAACCUUGAAUUUUCAUCCCUAAAGUCGGGAUACUAAUGUGCUAACUUUAUGAGUUAAUUGUGAGGAGUAAAUCAGCUCACAAAGUACAUAGAAGGCACUUAACAUUUCUUAUUCCUUGGUAUGAAUAGAGUAUGUGUAGGAUGAAAGUUGCAUGCUGUGUUAAAAAAAGCAGAAGACUAGGUGACACAACCUGUUAUUGUCCUUCCCAAAGAGCAUGGAUAAGGCUAGGGAAAAAAAAAAAAAAGACAAGCUCCUUAAUAAAAUUUCUGGAAAACAUUCAUUUCAUUCUAUCUUCAAAAUUCUGGGGAUAUAUUUCCUCAGAAAGCUCCAUACAUAAUGGGCUUUAGGCACUGAAAACAUAUCAGGGCCUUUGCCCAACAAUGGAAAAUUCACUACUUCAACCAUUUUCUUUAGUAUUCUUUAGCAACUCCUUGGUUUAAUCACUGGAUAAUGUUGAAAGAUUUGGUGAAAAACACUUGUUUGAAGGGUCUGUUUACUUGAAGUGAAACUAAGGGCCAUGAAGGUGAUCCAGCUAGCUUUCUCUUGUGUAGCCAAAGACAAUUCUAGAUCUUCCUGCUGUGUCUGAUUUUUGAUCAAAGAUUGGGAUUGGGGAGCAGUGAGUUCAGCGGCACUGAGUUUGGCACCGUAUGUUAGGAAUGGCGGGGGUCAUAAAAAGAGAAAAUGGGGAUGAGGACAUGGGAAGUUCUCAAUUCUUGAAGUGGAAUUAAAGAAAUGUGAAAUAACAUUACGUGAGAAAAUACUCAGGAAAUACCAAUAUAACAUACAAAUUCCCAUUACGCUGUUUCUGGGUAGGUGCUGAGUCAGAAUUUCUAGGAUAGAAGGAAUAUUGACGGAGGCAAGCAGUUUUGGUGAAAUGAUGGCCAACACGAAUCUUGUUCAGACUCUUUGUCCUCUUCUAUUUUCUCUGUGGAAAUUCUCCCCAAUGCCCGCCCCUCUCUCUACUCUCCCCUGUAAGCCUUGCCUCCCAGGGUUUGCCCCCUUACAUUUUACUGUCAGAUAUUUCAGAUAUUUUUAUAUUUUCAUGUAGUGAUAGGUGUAAUUCUAAGAUGGUCCCCAAAUUCCUGCCCCCUGGCAUGCCCACCAUGUAUAAUUUCAUACUCUUGACUGGGGGUGGCACCAUUAAUAUGAUUAAUGAUGCUAAUGGCAUAGCAAAGUUUGUAUAGUUACUCAAGUGAUUACAUUAAGUUAUAUAAGACUCCUUCUUAGCAUCCUGGAGAAAGAUUCUCCUGUUGGCUUUAAAGAAUAAGCUUCCAUGUUGUGAGAGGGGCAUGUGACCAGGACUCAAAGGCAGCUUUUAGGAGUUAAAAGCCACUCCCAUCCCCACAGCCAACAAGAAAUGGGGAUCUCGGUUCCUCCCUCAAAAGGAACUGAAUCCUGCCAACAACCUGAAUGAGCCAGAAAAAAUAUCCUAAUCUCCAGAUGAGAAUGCACCCCAUACAGCACCUUAAUUUCAGCCUAAGGACCCCUGAACAGAGAAUCAGCUAUACUCUACCCAAGCCCUUGACACACAAAGACCAUGAGAUAAAACAUUUCUAUUUUUUUAAGUAAAGUUUGCAGUAAUUUGCUAUGCAGCUUUAGAAAACUUUAAAUUCUAAAGAAUUUUUAAAAAAUCUAAUUUAAAUUAGAAUUAUGCCUUAUCCUUAAUUAAUUUCUUCAUACCUUUCAGUGCACAUACUUUAGUACUUUGUACAAAGUAACCAUACAAUUAAAAUUUGCUGAUGGAUUAAUUUGUUGAUUAGGAUAAUUAUCCUAAAAUUUUAUUUCCAAUGUCUAUUUUCCCCCCACCAGAAAAGUCCUUAAAACUUUUUCUAAGUAUUUAGUAAAUAUCAUCUUUUUUUUUCCCCUGGAAAAUUCCUCCACUUAUUAACCUGUCAACAUAUUCGUGCUGACCCAAACCAAAUAAGUAAGCAGUGUAGGUCAAAAGAUACUUUGGAAAGGAAGAUCAUGCUAUUUGGGGACAGUUUCAGUGGGUAGUUAUAAUCAGUCAAGUAUUAAAUUAUGAAAAAAUGUCAUAUGAAGUUUGGUAUGAACACAUUAGAACUUUAAAUUUUUUCCUGAUGUUUCCCAAUUAUGUUAAUAUACAUUGAGAGUAAUAAAAAUGAUAAUAACAAUAGCUAACUUUUAUUAAUCACCUCAUAUGUUCCUGGCAAUUAAGAGUUUAAUCUGUUAAUAUAUUUAAGCUCUAAAAAUAUUUGUAACCUCAGUUACUAUUACUGUCUUCAUCUUAUUGAUAAGGAAACCAAGGCAAAAAGGUUAAAUAAUUUGUCCAGGGUCAAAUAGAUAGCAACAACAGUAAUAAUAAACUUUUGCAGAGCACUUCAAUGGUGCUUUACUUAUUACGUUGGCGCAAAAGUAAUUGCAGUUUUUGCCACUACUUUAAAUGGCAAUAUAUUAACUCAUUUAAUUUCUACGAUUAUUGUGUGAAUUAAGUACUAUUAUUCCUUCAUUUUAGAGAUAAGAAAACAGAGGCUUGCAAAUCAUUUUAGAGCACUUUUCUUCUCUAAAUGCUUCACUGUUAUAAGCUAAUAACAGUAAACUUAUUUUAAAAAUCAAUUUUUUUUCAAAAUUCCAAAAUCAGUUCAAUACUGCCAGAUUAAUCUUCCUUGCAUACUAGCAGAGUCUUCUACAGGAAACAUUCAAUGACUGCCUGUUGCUAACUUACGAAAUUCCAACAACUUAUGAUGGCCAUUUAGGGUCUUCCAUGCUCUCACUCCAAUGUGUAUUUCUAGUUAAAUUUUCUACUAUGCCUCAACAUGCACCCUGGGUUCAGUCAAAUCAGCAUAAGUAAUGUUCAUUACACCCAGGCUUUCAUGGCUCUGUGGUUUUCUGAUUUAAUUUUGGCCACCUGGAAGGCCCUCCUCCACCUCCACUUGUCAAAAUAGCAUUUCCUUCUAUUUCAUAUCUCAACUUCUCCAGCAACAGUUUAAUUCUAUAACCAGACAUGUUGCUUUCCUUUACUUUGCACAUAAAGGAAUUAUUUAACAUAUUACAAUUAUAUUUAUAUUACAGACUUUUCUUUCUUCCAUAUCUUCCCUAAUGACUAUAUAUUUCUUGAACGGGAAAAACAAUGCUCAUAGGAAAAUAACGUAUCUAAUAUUAUUUGAGAGUUAUAUGAAUUCAUUCAGUAUAAAUUCUCUUCUAAGGGACUUUGAAUUUAUUUCUCUAAUUGUUUGAUAAAAGAAUUACACAGAGAUGUUGUUUUUUAGAUUCUUUCCUCAUAUCCUGGAAAGUUCAUGUCUCAAUUUCCCUUAGUUUUCCAUUUUUAAGGGCUAUGAUCUGAUCUACAUAAUAAUAUAAAAAAUGGAAAUAAGUAAAUUGAAGCUUUUUUAGUGGAAUAAGGAUAUAUUACAUUAUUGAGCAUUACUAAGUGCCAGACAACAAUCCUUGUCCUCAUGGAGCUUAGAUUCCAAUAGGAAAAAAUAAAAAAUAAACAUAUAUAUAUAGAAGUUCUAUGAUAGGUACUAUAAAAACAUAGAUCAAAGUUAAACAUUGGUUGUGGCAGAAGGUGAGAUAAGGCAUAUGUGGUCAUGGCAGGCCUCAUUGGAAAGGUGAUAAGUGAGUAGGAAGAGCUGCCCAAGAAAGUUUUUUCCUCCCUUGAGUGUGGAUUAUUGAGGGGAAGGAUGCUGCCUCUCUAUUGAUGAAGAGAAAAUCUUUUCUUACCUUUGGUUUUAUUGAGUGUAAUGACAAAUGAUUUGAAACUGUUUGACAUUCCUAGUCACUCAAAUAAAUGUAGAAUUUGAGUAACUGGAUCUGACAUACACUCUUUAAAGUGUUAAGUCAGAAGCAUGAUGCUAUGGGCUGAAUUAUGUCUACCCCAAAUUUAUAUAUAUGUAUAUGUAUGUGUGUACGUGUGUGUAUAUAAAAUAUCUUAUCUUUCCUGCCGAUUUUUCUUCCCUGGUUGAACCCUAAAUGACAACUUACAAAAAACAAAUGAGACUUUUUUUCUAAGAGUGUACAAAUUACCAUUUGAUUAGAUAAUUCAAUCAUAUAUCAGUAAUCAAUUUAGAUCAAUUUCAAAAUAGUUAAUUUGUUAUGUAUACACUCUAAGAAUGAAAGAUUCUAUGAAUAUGUUAUACAUUUUCCCAAAAAGAAUGAAUUUCAAACCAAAAGAGUAGCAUAUGCCUUCCGGGAAAAUAAACUGUUUCUGAAGUCAAUAAUUUAUUCUUUGCUCAUAGCAAGCGUACAUCCUUCCCAACUUAAAAUAAUCAAAAAUUUCAAUCAAACUUACUUUCACCUUAGACCCUUUCCUCUUCUUCAUUGGUCUCUCAGAAUUAUAGCUUACACCCAUAGUUUCAAUUUUUUCACUUUUCAUUUACUCCUCAGUCAUUAACAUUUGGCUUCCAUUCUUAAAACUCUACCAAAAUAAUCCUUGAUGAUUGCUUUGCCAUUAAAUGACUGUAUUUAAUGAUCACUUUACGUGACCCCUCAGCAUCACUCAAUAAUAUUGUCCCCUUCUUCUUUCCGGGAAAUCUUUCUUUCCAUUUGCAUCAAUGACAUCACAAUCUGGUUUUCCUACUGUUUCCAGAUUACUCUUUUUCUGACCCUUUUUCUUUUUUUUUUCAUGUAAUACCAUUUUAAUAAGCCAUGUAUGUUUAUUAUUUAAUUACAUGUUUGUUAUGCACAAACUGCUCUUAUACAGUUCUGUUAGCCAGUAUAAUAACGUUUUUAACUUUGUCGAUAACAAACUUGUAUUUGUAAUGUAACAUAUGCUGUGCUCUAGUCUAAAAAUUGGUGCUUAAACUGUUCACUAAUUUAAUUAUGUAGGAUGCAAUAUGUUCCAAAAUCCAGUGCACUUAAUUGUAUUUAAAUUUGGUUUUCAUUUAAGAUCCUCACAUGCUAAGAAGUAGAGCAGCCUUGUAGAAUUGAUCCUUUCUCAUUUGAAGCCAAGUCUGAUCAUCUCUUGACACCCAGGUUGGGCUGAAUGCAGAGGAUGGGUCUUAGUUUUUUUUUUUUUUUUUUAUUCAAAGAGCAUUGCAUCUUUCCUAACUCAAGUAGUUUCUAUCCUCAUUUCAGACCUCCAGCUUGACUACUCAUUAACAGAUGAGUUCUGCAGAAACCACUUCUUGGUGGGACUGUUACUGAGGGAGGUGGGGACAGCCCUCCAGGAGUUCCAUCUGAUCGCCAUCAGUGUGCUCAAGAACCUGCUGAUAAAGCAUUCUUUUGAUGACAGAUAUGCUUCAAGGAGUCAUCAGGCAAGGAUAGCCACCCUCCACCUGCCUCUGUUUGGUCUGCUGAUUGAAAACGUCCCGCGGAUCAAUGUGAGGGAUGUGUCACCUUUCCCUGUGAACGUGGGCAUGAUGUUGAGAAAGUAUUUGAAGGCACCUGACAACAAAACCCUCAGAAGACUCAGGAGAAGGGUCAUUAGCCACACUCUCUUACAGUCCUUCUCCUGUUUGGAAUUCCAGUUUCCUAUACAAAGGUGGCUGCGAUGGGCCAGGGCCAUGGCUGGAAGAGGUAAGACCUUCAACAUAGCAGUCAACUUGGACAUUAUCAGACUUGUUUUAACACAAAAUGGUAAAUAUCCAAUUAUCAGAUGAGAUUCAACAUUUUAUGGCCUGCCAUGUUGAAAACCCUAAUGAUAGGUCGCAUUGUGAUCCCUGUAAACUGUCAACCAGGACUGCGAAAAGCACCAUGACAAAUGACUAAACAUUGUCUCUACUAAUCAUAUUUGGGGUUGGCCUGAUGUACUAGCUAGAGUUUGUUUAUUUUUCGUAAACAAAUAAAAUAGAUAAAGCUCAAGUUUCCUAUGUUCUUCUACAAGGCAGAUUUUCUUCACCCCUCCCCUCAAAAGAAAAUCACUAUUAUUAAUUUUAGUAUCUCAUUUGUCCAGAUUUUAAAAUUGUUAUUACAUACACAUAUAUCCAUGAAAAGAUACCAAAAUACUAUGUUAUUAAUAUGUAUCCAAUAGUAUUAUAUUCUGCAUACUAUCCUAUAACAUGUUUUUUUCUACUCAAAAUUACCUUUUUGAGUUACCUCAUGUAAAUUAAACCAUUUAGAUAUAGUGAAUCUAAUUUAUUUAUUUUGGUGCUAUGUAGUAAGUAUUCCAGUGUAUAUAUGUACUAUCAUUGAAUUCUCCAUCCCUUUAUUGAUGGGUUUUUGAUUUGUUUCCAUUUCUCCCUAUUACAAAAAAGGCUAGUGGAUAUCCCUGUGCAUUUAGCUUUACAUGCAUAUGUGAGUAUAGAGAGAACAGAACUGUUGGGUUGUAGGAUAUGCUUAUUUUCCACUUCAAGAGUUGCCCUCUAAAAGAAAUUGGUAUUGAUUUACAUCCCCACCUGCUGUGUGUCAGCAAUCUAUUCUCACAUCCUCCUAUCAUUUGGAAUAGUUAUAACUUUUGCCGUUAUAAUGAAUUUGAAAUGGUAUCUCAUUUUGUUUGGCAUUCUUUUUCCCAACCAGUACUAUCUGUUUUAUACUUACUCACCUGUUACCUGUUUUUUGAAUAAAUGAUACAUGUCCUUUGCCUACUUUCCACUGGAUUCUCUUUUAUCAUAUUCUUAUUGACAGAUAAGAAUUAUUUGAAUUUUUCUAAUGUCUGCAAUAUAUAUUGGUUACAUUUUCCAGCUUAUUGCUUUUCUUUUAACUUGAUAGUCCCCUUUUAAUAUAGAAAUUUUGGAUGUUAUUAUAAUUAGGAAUUGCUAAUUUCUUACUUUAUGAUUUAUGUCUUUUUCAAGAAAAAUCUCUGCCAAAAUGUUAUAUUAGUCUUAAGUAUAGUUUUAAAGCUUUUUUUUCAUGUGUUUAUGUCUAUAUCUUAUACAUAAUAAUUUUAUGUAUGGUUUGACUCAGGUAUUAAAUUUUAUUAUGGACAUGUAUUGCUCUGGCAUUGUUUAUGGAGUAACUACAGUUUCCCUUCUGAUUUUUAAUUCCUCCUAUAGUGUAGAAAAAGAUCCCAGAAAACAUUUAGUGUCUUAAUUGCUCAUCUGUUUCCUAUCAAUCUAUCUUUUCCUGAACAAAUAUUACAGAUCUUAAUUACUAUAGUUUUACAAUAAGUUUUGAUAUCUGAUUAAAGCAAGUUACCCCAACCUAUGCUCCUUCAAAAUAUUGUGCUUACUAAUAGUCCUUUAGCUCUUUGGUGUAAAUGUUAGAAAUUGCUUUUGAAAUUACAAGGUGUUUGAGUUGUAAUUGCAUUUAAUUUUGUGAUUAAUUUAAAAAGAUUUAUAUCUUUAAUAAUUGUUUUCAAAUCUAAAGAUUGUAAACAUAUUUUUCCUUUUUAUUCAUGCAUUCUCUAGGUCCCCAUAUGCCUUCUAUUUUUAAAGUUGGGUGUAUUGAGAUAUAAUUUAUAUAGAAAUUAUAAUAAUUUCAGUAUAUUAACAAUAUAUUAAACCAUUUUAAGGUGUACAGUUCAAUGAGUUUUGACAAAUGUAUAAAGUCAUGUAACCAUUACCUCAGAAUAUAGAAUUUCUAUCACUCCUUCUGUGGUUUGAAUGUUUGUGCCUUCCCAAUCCUAACUCAUAUAUUGAAAUUCUAAUCCCCAAGGUCAUGGAUGGUAUUAGGAGAUGGGGCUUUUGGGUAGGUGAUCAGGUCAUUAGGGUUCCAUCCUCAUGAAUGAUAUUAGUGCCCUUGUAAAAGGGGCAAGAGAGAGCUGCCUUGUCCUUUAUACCAUGUGAGGACACAGGAAUAAACCACCAUCUAUGAGGAAGGGGUCCUCACCAGACAUUAAAUUUGCUCAUGCCUGGAUCUUGGAGUUCUUAGAAUCCAGAACCAUGAGGAAUGAGUGUUGUUUACAAGCCACAAAGUUUGUGGUAUUUUGUUAUGACAGAUGAAAUGGACUAAGACAGCUCCAAAAAGUUUUGUUGUACCUCUCUGUAGUUAACCCACUCUCCUAUCAGUAGCCCUUGGCAACCACUGAUCUGAUUUCUGUUCCUGUAGUUUCACCUUUUCCAGAGUAUUAUAUCAAUGAAUCAUACAGCAUGUAUGAUUUUCUUUACUUACAACAAUGCUUUAAGAUACAUUCAUGUUGUUCUAUGAAAGGGUAAUUUGCUCCUUUUUAGUUCUAAGUAGUAUUCCAUUGAAUGGACGUACCAUGACUUAUUUAUCCAUUUACUUACUGAUGAACAUUUUUUAAAAUUUCCACUUUGUAGUGAUUACGAAUAAACAUUCAUUCACAGGUUUUGUGUGAACAUAUACUUUUAUUUAUCUUGAAUGAACACCUAGGAAUUUGGUUGCUGGGUCACAUGGUAAGAGUAUUUUUAACUUUAUCAAAAAGCAGCCUACUUAUUUUAUUAAUGACGUUAGCAUUUUGCAUUCUUACCAGUACUAUGUGAGAGUUCUAGCUGCUAUGUAGUAUCACUAGCACUUGAUACUUUCACUUUUAUAUUAUUUUGGCUAUUCUC